AUGAACGCUGGCGGCGUGCCUAAUACAUGCAAGUCGAGCGAACAGAUGAGGAGCUUGCUCCUCUGACGUUAGCGGCGGACUGGUGAGUAACACGUGGAUAACCUACCUAUAAGACUGGGAUAACUUCGGGAAACCGGAGCUAAUACCGGAUAAUAUAUUGAACCGCAUGGUUCAAUAGUGAAAGACGGUUUUGCUGUCACUUAUAGAUGGAUCCGCGCCGCAUUAGCUAGUUGGUAAGGUAACGGCUU
This 248-nucleotide ribosomal RNA is filed under the name uncultured bacterium. Its description in RNAcentral is "partial 16S ribosomal RNA". It matches the Rfam family "Bacterial small subunit ribosomal RNA", at positions 29 to 266 of the family's 1533-position model. The record is from RNAcentral.